UACGUAGGGUGCAAGCGUUAAUCGGAAUUACUGGGCGUAAAGCGUGCGCAGGCGGUUAUGCAAGACAGAGGUGAAAUCCCCGGGCUCAACCUGGGAAUUGCGAUGGAGACUGCAAGGCUAGAAUCUGGCAGAGGGGGGUAGAAUUCCACGUGUAGCAGUGAAAUGCGUAGAGAUGUGGAGGAACACCGAUGGCGAAGGCAGCCCCCUGGGUCAAGAUUGACGCUCAUGCACGAAAGCGUGGGGAGCAAACAGG
This 253-nucleotide ribosomal RNA is filed under the name uncultured bacterium. RNAcentral describes it as "partial 16S ribosomal RNA". It matches the Rfam family "Bacterial small subunit ribosomal RNA", at positions 524 to 776 of the family's 1533-position model. The record is from RNAcentral.